RNAcentral lists this long non-coding RNA (103 nucleotides) under Sus scrofa (pig). RNAcentral describes it as "lncRNA (ENSSSCG00055010201.1)". The record is from RNAcentral. Lineage: Eukaryota; Metazoa; Chordata; Mammalia; Artiodactyla; Suidae.
GAACAAAGUGCCUUAUUUGGGACUUAGGAAUUACAAUUCGGGAGACACAGACUCAGGAAAGCCAAAGGCCGUACUUGAAAGAUUAUAUAGGCUUCCUGAAGAA